UCCUGUCAGGAUUCAGGUUGGAGUGAGGGUUCUUUCCAGAGACGAGCUACGCGGAGGAGUUUGACAGCCUGACGCACCUGCAUCGGAUUCCGGUAACCAGCGGCAGGCUUCUUAAGAAGCGGUGGAACCACCAGUCAUCGCUCGAUGGUUACCACUUGUUGAUCCUGAUCCCGCUUCCCGGAGCCAAGCCUGGAACUUCACCGGUCAGGCGCGUCUCGUUGGUUGGCACCUCCAAGCAGUUCUGAUCCGCUGCAGCCCGGGACCCCCGAACCUACCUGGACUCUCGUUCCCUCCUGACGUCCCCCAGUCUCAAUUCUCGAACCAUUGUUUGACCUCAUUAAAACAAACCCUCUUAACCGUAAAAAUCUGUUCUUCUGUGCGCACCUGCAUGUGGGCAAGGAAAUUAAAAUCCAACAUGACAA
This is a long non-coding RNA of Xiphophorus couchianus (Monterrey platyfish), 422 nucleotides long. RefSeq lists it as uncharacterized. Lineage: Eukaryota; Metazoa; Chordata; Actinopteri; Cyprinodontiformes; Poeciliidae. The transcript is spliced from 2 exons. The record is from RefSeq and is a predicted model, not a curated record.